AGUGAACGCUGGCGGCAGGCCUAAUACAUGCAAGUCGAACGGCAGCACAGCAGAGCUUGCUCUGUGGGUGGCGAGUGGCGGACGGGUGAGGAAUACAUGGGAAUCUGCCCAGUCGUGGGGGAUAACGUAUGGAAACGUACGCUAAUACCGCAUGCGCCCUCUGGGGGAAAGCCGGGGACCUUCGGGCCUGGCGCGAUUGGAUGAGCUCAUGUUCGAUUAGCUAGUUGGCGGGGUAAAGGCCCACCAAGGCGACGAUCGAUAGCUGGUCUGAGAGGAUGAUCAGCCACACUGGGACUGAGACACGGCCCAGACUCCUACGGGAGGCAGCAGUAGGGAAUAUUGGACAAUGGGCGCAAGCCUGAUCCAGCCAUGCCGCGUGAGUGAAGAAGGCCCUCGGGUUGUAAAGCUCUUUUGUCCGGAAAGAAAAGCAUUCGGUUAAUACCCGGGUGUUCUGACGGUACCGGAAGAAUAAGCACCGGCUAACUUCGUC
This 490-nucleotide ribosomal RNA is filed under the name uncultured bacterium. Its description in RNAcentral is "partial 16S ribosomal RNA". It matches the Rfam family "Bacterial small subunit ribosomal RNA", at positions 29 to 507 of the family's 1533-position model. The record is from RNAcentral.